UCCCUAAGUUAGAGCAUGGUGAUGCC
This 26-nucleotide non-coding RNA is filed under the name Homo sapiens (human). Lineage: Eukaryota; Metazoa; Chordata; Mammalia; Primates; Hominidae. The record is from RNAcentral.